RNAcentral lists this ribosomal RNA (509 nucleotides) under uncultured soil bacterium. Its description in RNAcentral is "bacterial SSU rRNA". It matches the Rfam family "Bacterial small subunit ribosomal RNA", at positions 26 to 515 of the family's 1533-position model. The record is from RNAcentral.
AGAUUGAACGCUGGCGGAAUGCUUUACACAUGCAAGUCGAACGGCAGCACGGGACUCAGGCAACUGAGCCCUGGUGGCGAGUGGCGAACGGGUGAGUAACAUAUCGGAACGUACCCAGUCGUGGGGGAUAACUCUCCGAAAGGAGAGCUAAUACCGCAUACGUCCUGAGGGAGAAAGCGGGGGACCUAAGGGUAACUGAGGGCCUCGCGCGAUUGGAGCGGCCGAUAUCGGAUUAGCUAGUUGGUGAGGUAAAGGCUCACCAAGGCGACGAUCCGUAGCGGGUCUGAGAGGACGACCCGCCACACUGGAACUGAGACACGGUCCAGACUCCUACGGGAGGCAGCAGUGGGAAUUUGGACAAGUGGGGGACAACCGUGAUCCAGCCAUCCGCGUGAGUGAAGAAGCCUUGGUGUAAGCUCUUUCAGCAGGAACGAACGGUAGGUCUAAGUACGCCUAUUAAUGACGUACUAGUCAGAAGAAGCACGGACUAACGUACGUACGCCAGCAGA